CGAAGAACCUUACCUGGUCUUGACAUAGUAAGAACUUUCCAGAGAUGGAUUGGUGCCUUCGGGAACUUACAUACAGGUGCUGCAUGGCUGUCGUCAGCUCGUGUCGUGAGAUUGUUGGGUUAAGUCCCGCAACGAGCGCAACCCUUUUCCUUAUUUGCCAGCGGGUUAAGCCGGGAACUUUAAGGAUACUGCCAGUGACAAACUGGAGGAAGGCGGGGACGACGUCAAGUCAUCAUGGCCCUUACGACCAGGGCUACACACGUGCUACAAUGGUCGGUACAAAGGGUUGCUACCUCGCGAGAGGAUGCUAAUCUACAAAAAGCCGAUCGUAGUCCGGAUUGGAGUCUGCAACUCGACUCCAUGAAGUCGGAAUCGCUAGUAAUCGCGGAUCAGAAUGCCGCGGUGAAUACGUUCCCGGGCCUUGUACACACCGCCCGUCACACCAUGGGAGUUUGUUGCACCAGAAGUAGGUAGUCUAACCUUAGGGGGGACGCUUACCACGGUGUGGCAGAUGACUGGGGUGAAGUCGUAACAAGGUAGGCGUAGAUGA
This 550-nucleotide ribosomal RNA is filed under the name uncultured bacterium. RNAcentral describes it as "bacterial SSU rRNA". It matches the Rfam family "Bacterial small subunit ribosomal RNA", at positions 962 to 1509 of the family's 1533-position model. The record is from RNAcentral.